This 179-nucleotide unclassified non-coding RNA is filed under the name soil metagenome. Its description in RNAcentral is "partial internal transcribed spacer 1". The record is from RNAcentral.
CCGAGUGCGGGUCCCUCGCGGCCCAACCUCCCACCCUUGUCUCUAUACACCUGUUGCUUUGGCGGGCCCACUGGGGCCACCUGGUCGCCGGGGGACGCAUGUCCCCGGGCCCGCGCCCCGCCGAAGCGCUCUGUGAACCCUGAUGAAGAUGGGCUGUCUGAGUACCAUGAAAAUUGUCA